UCUAGAGUNUCGGAGAGGAAAGUGGAAUUCCUAGUGUAGCGGUGAAAUGCGUAGAUAUUAGGAAGAACACCAGUGGCGAAGGCGACUUUCUGGACGAAAACUGACGCUGAGGCGCGAAAGCCGGGGGAGCGAACGGGAUUAGAUACCCCGGUAGUCCUGCCGUAAACGAUGGGUACUAGGUGUAGGAGGUGUCGACCCCUUCUGUGCCGGAGUUAACGCAAUAAGUACCCCGCCUGGGGAGUACGACCGCAAGGUUGAAACUCAAAGGAAUUGACGGGGGCCCGCACAAGCGGUGGAGUAUGUGGUUUAAUUCGACGCAACGCGAAGAACCUUACCAGGUCUUGACAUUGAUGGACAGAACUAGAGAUAGUUCCUCUUCUUCGGAAGCCAGAAAACGGGUGGUGCACGGUUGUCGUCAGCUCGUGUCGUGAGAUGUUGGGUUAAGUCCCGCAACGAGCGCAACCCCUAUCUUAUGUUGCCAGCACUUCGGGUGGGAACUCAUGAGAGGCUGCCGCAGACAAUGCGGAGGAAGGCGGGGAUGACGUCAAAUCAUCAUGCCCCUUAUGACCUGGGCUACACACGUACUACAAUGGGAGUUAAUAGACGGAAGCGAAGCCGCGAGGUGGAGCAAACCCGAGAAACACUCUCUCAGUUCGGAUCGUGGGCUGCAACUCGCCUACGUGAAGUCGGAAUCGCUAGUAAUCGCAGGUCAGCAUACUGCGGUGAAUACGUUCCCGGGCCUUGUACACACCG
RNAcentral lists this ribosomal RNA (753 nucleotides) under uncultured bacterium. RNAcentral's name for it is "bacterial SSU rRNA". It matches the Rfam family "Bacterial small subunit ribosomal RNA", at positions 640 to 1392 of the family's 1533-position model. The record is from RNAcentral.